Molecule: long non-coding RNA, 175 nt
Organism: Neltuma alba
Lineage: Eukaryota; Viridiplantae; Streptophyta; Magnoliopsida; Fabales; Fabaceae
Exons: 3
Source: RefSeq, a predicted model, not a curated record
GAUCGAGAGAACAGGAAUCGAAGUGUGUGGCGGAGGAGAGAAGAGUGGCCACAUUCCACAUGCAACACUAGAGUCUAACCAAGGAUUUAAUUGGCGUCCUAGCUUACCAAGAAGAAACCAAGAGCAAGGUACCUGCGAAGGAGAGCAGGUGGAAGGGCCCAGUUCAUCCAAAGGA